GCGUGGAGGCAUGCAGCUAUGCUAACGCGAUCUUCUUCACCCCCUGUUCAUCAUUACCCGGCAUGCCUUCACACAAAACGGAACACUUCUCCCCAGGUCAGCCCCGACAGUGUUUACAUAACAGCCUGCGGAUGAACAAGCGCGGAUAAAAUGGCUCGAUGCGAUGGUCCUUUACGGGAUUUAACAGCUGCAGCGGAACAGAGGGCAGUUUUCAGAAUGUGGCGUUUGCCAUAUGUGGUUUGUAGGUGGACCAGUUGGGAAAUGGCGUGGAAAAUGGCGAUGGACAGACACUUCGUUGUUGAAUCAAGACAGUGUUCUGCGGAGCUCCUGAAGGAAGACAGCGGAUGGAGAAUCUGGCUGUGAUUGGCCAGCUCACCGACGAGUUCCUAUGGCAUUAUAAUGUUUGUUCACCUGUAAUAAUGAAGGAAUGUAUGAUUUGCACAUGAAAACGUACAUAUUAAUCAUUCAUAUUUCGUGUGUAUAUUUAAAGCGGAGAAUGUACAGGGUCAUUUCUUUCAUCUCUGGGUAAAAUGUUUGGGAAUGCCCAAGUGGAACAUAUUUAUAUCACAACAAAAGCCUUGUCUUAUGCAUGCCAGGAUUUUCUGGCAUUAUAGCAUUUCUUUGAUCUUGUUUAUCUGUGGUGAACAUUUUUAGUUAUUUACAAAGAAACAAACAAGCACGCAACAAAGAUAAAAAAAGAAUUCCAAGAUA
Molecule: long non-coding RNA, 711 nt
Organism: Anguilla anguilla (European eel)
Lineage: Eukaryota; Metazoa; Chordata; Actinopteri; Anguilliformes; Anguillidae
Exons: 2
Source: RefSeq, a predicted model, not a curated record